Eptesicus fuscus (big brown bat) is the source of this 196-nucleotide long non-coding RNA. RefSeq lists it as uncharacterized. NCBI's taxonomy places the organism in Eukaryota, Metazoa, Chordata, Mammalia, Chiroptera, Vespertilionidae. The record is from RefSeq and is a predicted model, not a curated record. The transcript has 2 exons.
UGGGAUUAUGUAUGCCAUUGGCUCUCCUGGGUCUCUAGCUUGCACAGAUCAGUGGGCUUCUCAACCUCCAUACUCAUGUCCCAGCUCAACUGAGACCCCAGAAACCUCUGAAGUCUCCACCCUCACCUCUCCAACCCUGAGUCACUUUGUACUUAUGACUCGGUUUUAUUUGUUUUCAUAAAUGUCUGAAAUUUCA